RNAcentral lists this ribosomal RNA (422 nucleotides) under uncultured bacterium. RNAcentral's name for it is "bacterial SSU rRNA". It matches the Rfam family "Bacterial small subunit ribosomal RNA", at positions 954 to 1388 of the family's 1533-position model. The record is from RNAcentral.
GCUAAACGCGAAGAACCUUACCAGGGUUUGACAUCCUACUAAUUUCUCCGAAAGGAGAGAGUGUCUUCGGACCGUAGUGACAGGUGAUGCAUGGCCGUCGUCAGCUCGUGUCGUGAGAUGUUUGGUUAAGUCCAUCAACGAGCGCAACCCUUGUAACUAGUUGGAUUUUUCUAGUUAGACUGCCCCGGUAACGGGGAGGAAGGAGGGGAUGAUGUCAGGUCAGUAUUUCCCUUACACCCUGGGCUAGAAACACGCUACAAUGGCCGGUACAAAGGGCAGCCAAGUCGCGAGACGGAGCAAAUCCCAUCAAAGCCGGUCUCAGUUCGGAUAGGAGGCUGAAACUCGCCUCCUUGAAGUCGGAAUCGCUAGUAACGGUAGGUCAGCACACUACCGUGAAUACGUUCCCCCGGGGUCUUGUACAC